AUAUUGUACAAUGGGGGCAACCCUGAUCCAGCCAUGCCGCGUGUGUGACGAAGGUNUUNNGAUUGNANAGAACUUUAAGUUGGNNNNNAGGGCUUUUGGAUAAUACCCUGAAUUCUUGACGUUACCAACUUAAUUAGCACCGACUAACUCUGUGCCAGCAGCCGCGGUAAUACAGAGGGUUCAAGCGUUAAUCGGAAUUACUGGGCGUAAAGCGCGCGUAGGUGGGUCAGUAAGAUGGGUGUGAAAUCCCCGGGCUUAACCUGGGAACUGCUUUCAUAACUGCUGGGCUAGAGUACGGUAGAGGGUAGUGGAAUUUCCUGUGUAGCGGUGAAAUGCGUAGAUAUAGGAAGGAACACCAGUGGCGAAGGCGACUACCUGGACUGAUACUGACACUGAGGUGCGAAAGCGUGGGGAGCAAACAGG
Molecule: ribosomal RNA, 423 nt
Filed under: uncultured bacterium
Lineage: Bacteria
Description: partial 16S ribosomal RNA
Rfam family: Bacterial small subunit ribosomal RNA
Source: RNAcentral